AGUUAUUUAUAUAUACUUGAUAAAAAUUAUGUAAUUAUAACCGUACCUAUACCGCAUCAGGUGUCUUUGUAUCAUAACAAAUAUUUUAAAUUAAAGUAAGUAAGGGAAUUCGGCAAAUUAGAUCUGUAACUUUGGGAUAAAGAUUGGCUCUAGCAUGCUAGAACUUUUACUAUGUAAGGAAUCUGACUGUUUAUUAAAAACAUAGCUUUUUGUAUUUACAAGAAGUGAAUUCUGCCCAGUGCAUUUAUUGUUAAAGUUGUGUAAGCGAAUGUAAACGGCGGGAGUAACUAUGACUCUCUUAAGGUAGCCAAAUGCCUCGUCAUUUAAUUGGUGACGCGCAUGAAUGGAGCAACGAGAUUCCUACUGUCCCUACUUACAAUUUUGUGAAACCACGAGACAAGGGAACGGGCUUGUUAUAAAUCAGCGGGGAAAGAAGACCCUGUUGAGCUUGACUUUAGUAUGUUUUAAUAAAUAUUCGGUAUAUUGUAGAGAGGUGGGAGUUUUAUUGUGAAACCACUAGUAUGUUUGAAUAUUUAUUUAUUAGAAUAUAUGGGGAGUUUGGCUGGGGCGGUACAGCUGUUAAAAAGUAACACAGCUGUCCUAAGGUAGAUGAAUGAUGGAUGGUAACCAUCAGUUUAUUAUAAGGGAAUAAAUCUGCUUUACUUUAUGCAUAUGACUGUAUUUAGUAGGGAAACCUUGGCCUAGCGAUCCCAAUUACAUUCAUUAUGUAUUGGGUGAUUGAAAAGUUACCACAGGGAUAACUGGCUUGUAGCAGGCAAGCGAUCAUAGCGACUCUGCUUUUUGAUUCUUCGAUGUCGUCUCUUCUGAUCAUCGUAGUGUAUAUGUUACGAAGUGUUGGAUUGUUCACCCGGUAAUGAGGAACGUGAGAUGGGUUUAGACCGUCGUGAGACAGGUUAGUUUUACCCUACUGUAAGUAUUUUUGAGUGAACUUUGAUAGUACGAGAGGAACUCUAAGUGAUGACCACUGGUAGUGCGAUUAACUAUUAAGUUAUGUUGCUUAGCUACGUCGUUUCGAUUAAGGCUGAAAGCCUCUUAAGCCUGAAGCGUAGCUCAAAGAUACAUUUAGGAGAAUACUACUCUUUU
RNAcentral lists this ribosomal RNA (1104 nucleotides) under Tineola bisselliella. Its description in RNAcentral is "eukaryotic LSU rRNA". It matches the Rfam family "Eukaryotic large subunit ribosomal RNA", at positions 1799 to 3187 of the family's 3401-position model. The record is from RNAcentral. Lineage: Eukaryota; Metazoa; Arthropoda; Insecta; Lepidoptera; Tineidae.